This is a long non-coding RNA of Hypanus sabinus (Atlantic stingray), 310 nucleotides long. RefSeq lists it as uncharacterized. The transcript is spliced from 3 exons. The record is from RefSeq and is a predicted model, not a curated record. Lineage: Eukaryota; Metazoa; Chordata; Chondrichthyes; Myliobatiformes; Dasyatidae.
CUGGUGUGUUGUGUUUGAAUUCCCAUAGACAAAUUCCUUGUCGUUUUUAACCUGUAAAAAAAUUUAAAAUCCAUCAGUGGGUGAAGGACAACAUUUGAUAUGAGAUCACUUGAGUUGCCAAGAGAAGCUGGCCAAACCUGACUGGAAGGGGAGUCUGGUAGGAAUGACGAUGGAGCAGCAAUGGCUGGAGUUUCUGGGAGCAACUCGGGAGGUAUGUAAUGUCUAAAGGACCAGUGUUUGAGUAAAUGAGACUCACCAAACUUUCUCCUGACUGAAUCACCGGAAUCUCCGAGUCAGAUGGGUCCUCUCC